UACAGAUGUCUCAAGCGUUGUUCGGAUUCAUUGGGCGUAAAGGGUGCGUAGGCGGCGCGGUAAGUCGGGUGUGAAAUCUCGGAGCUUAACUCCGAAACUGCAUUCGAUACUGCCGUGCUUGAGGACUGGAGAGGAGACUGGAAUUUACGGUGUAGCGGUGAAAUGCGUAGAUAUCGUAAGGAAGACCAGUGGCGAAGGCGGGUCUCUGGACAGUUCCUGACGCUGAGGCACGAAGGCCAGGGGAGCAAACGGG
RNAcentral lists this ribosomal RNA (253 nucleotides) under uncultured bacterium. Its description in RNAcentral is "partial 16S ribosomal RNA". It matches the Rfam family "Bacterial small subunit ribosomal RNA", at positions 524 to 776 of the family's 1533-position model. The record is from RNAcentral.